This 576-nucleotide ribosomal RNA is filed under the name uncultured Vibrio sp. RNAcentral's name for it is "bacterial SSU rRNA". It matches the Rfam family "Bacterial small subunit ribosomal RNA", at positions 162 to 733 of the family's 1533-position model. The record is from RNAcentral. Lineage: Bacteria; Pseudomonadati; Pseudomonadota; Gammaproteobacteria; Vibrionales; Vibrionaceae.
GCUAAUACCGCAUAAUGCCUACGGGCCAAAGAGGGGGACCUUCGGGCCUCUCGCGUCAAGAUAUGCCUAGGUGGGAUUAGCUAGUUGGUGAGGUAAUGGCUCACCAAGGCGACGAUCCCUAGCUGGUCUGAGAGGAUGAUCAGCCACACUGGAACUGAGACACGGUCCAGACUCCUACGGGAGGCAGCAGUGGGGAAUAUUGCACAAUGGGCGAAAGCCUGAUGCAGCCAUGCCGCGUGUAUGAAGAAGGCCUUCGGGUUGUAAGGUACUUUCAGUUGUGAGGAAGGGGGUAACGUUAAUAGCGUUAUCUCUUGACGUUAGCAACAGAAGAAGCACCGGCUAACUCCGUGCCAGCAGCCGCGGUAAUACGGAGGGUGCGAGCGUUAAUCGGAAUUACUGGGCGUAAAGCGCAUGCAGGUGGUUCGUUAAGUCAGAUGUGAAAGCCCGGGGCUCAACCUCGGAACUGCAUUUGAAACUGGCGGACUAGAGUACUGUAGAGGGGGGUAGAAUUUCAGGUGUAGCGGUGAAAUGCGUAGAGAUCUGAAGGAAUACCGGUGGCGAAGGCGGCCCCCUGGA